This 491-nucleotide ribosomal RNA is filed under the name uncultured bacterium. RNAcentral's name for it is "bacterial SSU rRNA". It matches the Rfam family "Bacterial small subunit ribosomal RNA", at positions 28 to 517 of the family's 1533-position model. The record is from RNAcentral.
GAUGAACGCUAGCGACAGGCCUAACACAUGCAAGUCGAACGGCAGCAUGGGUGCUUGCACCUGAUGGCGAGUGGCGAACGGGUGAGUAAUGCAUCGGAACGUACCCGGAAGUGGGGGAUAACGUAGCGAAAGUUACGCUAAUACCGCAUAUUCUGUGAGCAGGAAAGCGGGGGAUCGCAAGACCUCGCGCUUCCGGAGCGGCCGAUGUCGGAUUAGCUAGUUGGCGGGGUAAAGGCCCACCAAGGCAACGAUCCGUAGCGGGUCUGAGAGGAUGAUCCGCCACACUGGGACUGAGACACGGCCCAGACUCCUACGGGAGGCAGCAGUGGGGAAUUUUGGACAAUGGGCGCAAGCCUGAUCCAGCCAUGCCGCGUGCAGGAAGACGGCCUUAUGGGUUGUAAACUGCUUUUGUCAGGGAAUAAACCCUCGUUUGCGAACGAGGCUGAAGGUACCUGAAGAAUAAGCAUCGGCUAACUCCGUGCCAGCAGCCG